This is a non-coding RNA of Schistocephalus solidus, 83 nucleotides long. NCBI's taxonomy places the organism in Eukaryota, Metazoa, Platyhelminthes, Cestoda, Diphyllobothriidea, Diphyllobothriidae. The record is from Rfam.
GGCCUCAUAGUUAAGUUGGUUAGAGGGUUAGCUGUACUUAAGCCUUCCUCUUGCUGGCGUGGGUUCGAAUCCCACCGAGGCCA